This is a non-coding RNA of Pelobates cultripes (western spadefoot toad), 607 nucleotides long. NCBI's taxonomy places the organism in Eukaryota, Metazoa, Chordata, Amphibia, Anura, Pelobatidae. The record is from the annotation of a GenBank genome assembly.
AUUCUAUCACUCGUUAACACAUAGAAUGAAUUUUAAAAAUUCUUAAUAAUUAAAUAGAGUAAUUAUCAGACACAUACUGGUUGUAAAACACUGAUAUGCUAUUCCAUUAUUUAUGCAACAGAUGUAUCUGUUAAGCCACCUGUCCUCUUUCACAGCAAGGUAGGUAAUCUGUUUUUUUAGGGUUACAGCUGCUUCAUUGUCAUUAACCAUUUUGCAUGAGAAGGAAGUGCAACAAAUUACAACAAAUUAUUUCUCCCACUUGCACUCAAAGGAUUCAUUAGCAGUGAAUAUUAAUUGCUUAGCUUACCCUGUUUGAUAAAAAUAACCCCCCUCGUUAAAUCUACAUUCGAUUUCAGUUCUUCAAAUUCAUGUUUUCUGUUCAAGAGAAAAUGCAAAACACACAUUACCAAGGAAAUUAAAUGUGAUUACACUUUUUAAAUUAACACAAACAGCCAAGCAGUGCAACAACUUAACAUAUGAGGUAUGCAAACACCCUCAAAAUGUUUGGCUAUUAUAGUGACAAAUUAUAAAACAACGCUUGAUGUACGCUACAUUGAAUGGACAUUGGUGUCAGAUUCAGCAACCCAACACUAAAAAGUGUUCAAAG